CAGUUAUAAACCAUAAAAAUAAAUAAUAACCCAAAUUAAAUAAAAGUCCCAUAAAGUCCACAAUUUACAUAAAAAAUUACUCCAGAAUAUAAUUAAAAAUUAAAUACCCAAAGUUGAAAAAAAAGUUUAGAUUCGUAUGGCCAUUGCCAAGUCCUCUGUUGCACCGAUUCGUCAUGACUUGAGAUUACCUAUACAGAUUAAGCAAAACGAGUGAGUUUACGUAAACUCAGUGUGUAGUUCCCCGUGUAAACAAACAGACAGUAUACAAAAUAAACUCAGUCUGGACUUAAGCCCCUUUUCAGAAUCAGUGACAGUAUCAGUUAGGGCUUAAGCCCAUCUCAGAACAAAAACAGUCAUGCAUUUCGGCCUUGGCCUGUUACAGUAUCAGUAAUUAGUACAGUAACAAGUUAUGCAGUAAACAAGUCCUACCCAGCCAGCCUCUACACUCCAUCUCUGUCCAACCCUACACUUAAUGUGAGAAUAUAAUCAACCCACCCAUCCCUACACUCCAUAAUAGUACCGAAAGCGACACUAGAAAGUAAUUUGCAGUUGAGCUGCCAGUAUAUUAGGCUUAAAGCCUUUCAGUACACUUCCUCCACAUAUAUUCCAUCCCUAUGCAAUGCAACAUACAGUCAUGGCAUGCUAUCACAUAGUAUCAUGUAUAUAAUCAGUACAGUAUUCUAAUCAUGCUCAGUAAAGAGUCAUACAUAUAUAAUUUCGUCAAUUAGGGAAUCAAAGCAUUGCUUACCGACACCAUAGUAGGCUCACCAGUCAUCUCGGGCGACCCGAGCAACCUUAGCAAACAAAUCAGUAAAUUGGGCUCACAUGCCUAUGUGAUUUGCCCGUGUGGGUCCACACACCCGUGUAGCCUACACGACCCAAAUUGGCCUUGGCCGUGUGGAUCACACGGCCUGGCUCAACAUCCCACAUGCUCAUGUGGUUCACCUAUGUGGGCCUACAUGCCCGUGUGGCCCACACGACCCAAAUUGGCCUUAGCCGUGUCUCACACAUAGCCUACCUGACCAUCACACGACCGUGUCUGCUGCACACAGCUGGCCUCGUCGACCACACACCCUUGUUCUAUCACACGGCCUGCCAUACGAGUGACCAUACGCCAGUGUAGCUACACAGAAUACUUUUUUGGCUUUUUGCCGAACUCCGUUUUCUGUGUUUUGGGUACACACCUGGUUCAAUUUCAACGCGUAAUCACUCCCGAGCACUCUAGAACCUAUAUUCGACAAUAAGAAGCCCAAUAUCAGUCACUUCAUCGAAAUUGCUAUGAACAGACAAUUCUCAAAAACCAUCGUCAACCUUACCUCUCUUAAGCAACCCCAAUUCCACAUGACCAUCGCGACAAAAGGAAUCCACCAGCCCCUUAAUUUGCACCUAAACAGACAGUGACUCUAAUCAAAUGAAUAUUAAUUGAAUAAAUCGAAAGGACUCACUUACCACUUACCGAACAUGUGAACUAUGUUGCACAAAUACGAUGAAUCGAAAACGAAGCUAAAAAGGGAAGGAAGAAAAAGGCGAAUUCAGCAAAAAGAAAGAGAAAAUUCGACAACAAAGAAUCACGUCAGAAAUUUGGGAGAAACAACCAAAAUUUUGAAAAUAAAACUACCCAGGACAACCCCAACUCCCACUCUCUCAAAUCUUUCCACUAAUCCCACUACUCAGAAUUCUGAUGCAACCAAAACUCUAUCACCAACCCGAGCAAAAUAAAACACCUUUGCUAAAGUAGGGAUUUGAACACAGGUCCUCUAGUAGACUAAUACUCCUCCUAACCACCAGACCAACAGACCCAUUCUAAUGUGAAAUUACUAAUAAUUUAAUAUAAGCCCUAAAGGCUAGGUUAAAGCUUUAUUCAUAAGAAAACAAAAAAAUUUUCCCAAGAUAAGGCUUGAACCCAAGACUUCUCAAACACUCCCAGAACAUAUAACCACUGAAGCAGAUACAUUGUUGUGUCAAAUUUUUAACAGAACCAAAUUUAUAAAUUUUGGGGCGUUACAUGGGUUCUUCAAAGUACAAGGCUACCAGAAUCUUGAAUUAGAAACACGUGUAUCUUGGUUAGAUAAUCAGUAAGGGUUAGUUUGUAGGUCAUACCGGGACCAGCUAUGAGAGGAAGAAUUGGUGGUUAAGACGUUCUUAACUGCUAUAACCAGCUUAAAGUUUGAAAGAGAAAAUUAAUUUUCAAGGAUCAAAUUGCAAAUCUGAAAUCCACCGAGUCUAAGGCUAAGGCUUAAUUAUCUCUGUUUAAAAAAAAUCUAAAUUUAUUUUUCAAUUUAAAUUUAUUUCUAAUAUUAAUUAAUUUUUAUUUACGCUGAUUCGACUAUUUACUUCUUAAACAUUUUCAAAACCCCCUGAUUUAUUUGUUUAUGUUUUUGCAGGUCCGUUUGGAGUCGUAGGCACGACUUUUGCCACAACUUUCGACACGAUAAACGUUCUGUUCACAAGUUAAACGCAGAAGUUGAUUAUAACAUCCAAUCUCUGUGGACUCGACCCUACUACCACUCUUUAUUACUAUUUAAAGUUAUUUUUGUAGAAAUUACUUUUGGUGGUUUCAACGCCCAUCAUGAAAAGAUGAUGUUAUUGUUAGUCUGAAGAGCUUUUUCAAGAAUUACAUAGACGUUUUGGUUAAGGAGAAUAAUGACGAUAAGGAAUAGAGAUUCAUUGGGUUUUAUGGAGUGUCGUUUGCCAACAAUAAAAAUGACUCUUGGAAUUUACUUAGGAGGCUAGGGUAGAAUCAAGGUUCCCCUUGGUUGGUUAUGGAGAUUUCAACGAAAUAAUUUGUUCUUUUGAGAAGGUUGGUGGUAUGCUAAGGAAAGAGAGAAGAAUAGAGGUUUUUCGAGAAGUCCUUGAAGAGUGUCAACUAAUAAAUAUGGGCUAUUCUAGUGUUUGGUUUACUUGGGAAAGAGGGAAUAUGCUGGAGAGAAACAUUCGUGAGAGAUUAGACAGGGGUUGCAAAUGAUGAAUAAUUGACUUUGUUUCUAAAUUCUUGAAUCCCACACUUGUCGCAUUCCUUCUAAGACCAAUGACCACUACUUAUAAGUACAGAUCAAAGGAGGGCAUUUUUAGGGGAAUCGAGAUUCAGGUUUGAAGCUUGUUGGACGAUAGAAGAAUCGUUAAAAUGAGAAAUUAAAUGGUUAUAGGAGUCCACCAAUGGUACUAUUUUUGACAAGUUGGACAGGAUGCGAAAAGGAUUGAAGGGUUGGGAAAAAUCAAUUAAGGCUAAUCAAGAUGGUUUGAAAUUGGGAUCUUACAAAGAAAGCAUUAUGGAGAUGGACAGGGAUGAUGACACAUUGGUAGAGUUCAUAGACAUGAAAAUCAAACUUAAUUUAGAGAUUGAUAAAGAUGAAGCUUUUUGGGAGUAGAAGGCAUGUGCUAACUAGCUUCUUUUGGGGGAUAAAAAUAUAGCCUUCUUUCAUAAUUAUGCUUAUGUUUAUAGGCAAAUGAAUUCUAUUAGUAGAUUGGAGUGUGAGGAUGGAAGAGAGGUUUGUGAUUAAGAAGAGAUUGGGGAAAUAGCUUCUAGAUUGUUUUCAAGACCUGUUUUCGUCGAAUGGGAUAGGUGAUCUAUCACACAUAUUGUUUGGAAUAGAGGUUAGCAUUCCCUCCGAUAUCAAUUCAAAUUUAAUGGCAAAAUACAUGGAAGAGGAGGUCUAUGGGGCUUUAAAGGAAAUGGGCCCUACUAAGGUGUCGGGGUUGAUGGUUUUUCGACUUUGUUUUUUCAAAGGUAUUGGCAUAUUGUAUGGAGCGAUGUCAUUGCGUACAGUUUGAGCAUAUUGAAAGACAGAAAAGAUUUUGAACUUGUAAAUAUUACUAAUAUUAUGCUAAUUCUUAAAAUUCCAAAUCCUACGAACCAGUAAAUUUUAGAUCUAUCAGUUUAUGUAUUGUCAUUUAUAAAAUUGUCGCAAAAGUAGUAGCUAAUUGACUUUAGGGAGUUAUUGGCACAUGUAUUAAUGAUGCUUGAAUGCCCGUUUGUGCAUUGGCUAUUAAUCUCUAAUAAUGUGAUAUUAGCCUAUGAGCUUUUGCAUACUUUUUGACAGAAGCGUACGAGGAAAAAAUACUACAUGACAUUGAAGCUAGAUAUGAGCAAAGCUUAUGAUAGGGUUGAAUAGGGUUUCCUAAAGGAAGUAAUGUUGCGAAUGGGUUUUGCUAAAGAAUAGGUAGAUCUAAUAAUGAAGUGUAUUUUUUUAGUUUCUUACUCGGUGAAUGCUAAUAGGAGUAGUGGGAGAAUUUUUAAUCCUAAAAGAUGGCUUCGUCAAGGUGAUCCACUUAGUCCUUUUUCUCUUCCUCAUUUGUAAUGAGGGACUUUUGGCGUUGAUGAGAUUAGUAAAGAAAGGGGGAUUGUAAAUGAGAUAUGGCUAGUAGGAAGAGUCCACAAAUCUCACAUUUGCUUUUCUUGAAUGAUUGUAUUCUCUUUGGUGAGGCGACAAGUAGAGAAGUAACAUUUUGAAGGGAAUCUUAAAAGAAUAUGAGAGCUGCUCAAGUCAGUGUGUGAAUUUUAGCAAAUCGACGGUCUUUUUUAGUUCGAAUACAACUGAUGAGGAUAAAGGGAGAAUUUUGAGUAUGUUGGGAAUGCAGUUCUAAUUAAACCCGAAAAAAUAUUUAGGGCUUCCAAAUAUGGUGGGCAGGAGGAAAAAGGCGUCUUUUCAAAAUCUAAAGGAUCAAGUAAAAAUACGAAUUGAAGGGUGGAGUACGAGGUUGCUAUCAUAGAAGAGCAAAAAGGUUUUUAUUAAAUCCAUAUUGCAGGCAAUUCCAAUGUAUACUAUAACAUGUUUUUUGUUACCAAAAUCUUUUUGUGGGGAAUUAGAAAGUCUAAUGGCUAGGUUUUGGUGGCAGAAAAGGUAUAGUAGGAGGGGGAUACAUUAGUGGGAAAGUUUAAUGUUGCUUUGCUGGCAAAGCAAGGAUGGAGGCUUAUUAAUUACCCAAAUUCGUUAAUUGCCCGUGUUCUUAAAGAAAAAUGUUUUCCUAGUAUCGAUUUUUGGAAAAGCAUUUGGGCUACGAGGGGUGUUUUACAUGAGGGACUUUGUUAGAGAAUGGGUUCGGGUGAGAAAAUAUCAAUUAAUAAGGAUGCUUGGAUUCCAGAGGCUGAAAAUUACAGGUUAUCUCGCAUUGUUCAUAGCAUGCAAAAUUCUACAAUGGCAUAUCUAAUUUAUGCUAAUAAUAGAGCAUGAAAACAAGAGUUGAUUGUCAAUACAUUCUCGGAGGUGGAUGCUGCUAGGAUCCAUCGUAUUCCUCUGGCGAAGAAGACCCAUGAUGAUCUACUUGUGUGGAGUGGUGAGCUCUCGGGGUAGUUUUCAGUACGUAAUGCCUACAAACUAUUACAAAAAUCUCCUAGGAAUCCUAAUGCUUAUGCUUUAUAGACCAGCUACAAGAUUUCUAUAAAAAAAAUAUUGUGCCUAAACCUCCCUUCUAAACUGAAAAUUGCAAUAUAGAGGAUAUCCUAGAAUUAUUUACCUACACUAGUCAAAAUGCAACAUAAGAAAUUGGUGAAUAAUGUGAAUUGUCCUCGGUGUGGAAGAGGUGUUGAGACUGCAGACUAUUUAUUCAGCAAUUGCCCCGUAUCCGUCGAGAUUUGGUCAUAUUUAAUUUUAUCAAAUAUCCUUAAUAAACCAGAGUUGGGUUUUGUAUAGUGACUCACCUGAGUUUUUGGGGAAUACUCAAUCCAUCAGAGGCAUCUGUUCUGUUUUGCGCUUUGGGCCAUCUGGAUAGACAAAAAUACUAGAAUACACAAACGGAAGGUCAAUAAAGGAAGGGAAAUAGCAUGGUUCAUUGUUAACUACAUUACUGAGAUAAACGAAAUUGACAGGAGGAACCUUAGAAAGGAACAUGAGGCAGUGAAACGGAGGGGUCCAUCAGGUUAUGCUAUAAAAAUCAAUUUCGACAGUGCGUAUGAUGGUCGUAACUAUAGGUUGGCCUUGGGUAUUGUCGCGAGGAAUGCUAAGAGGUGAGUUUUGUUUUCAUGCUCGGAGAUUCAUGAUGGGGUCUCGAUAAUAUUUUCUGCCAAAGCUCUUGCAUGUCAUCGGGCGGUACAAAUGGGUCUAGGAAUGGGGUGGUUAGAGUCAAUAGUGGAAGGUGACUCAUUAGCCAUUAUAAAGAAAUGACUGACUUAAAAUCCAAAUAAAUCACAGAUAAGAGCACAUAUACAAGACAUUCAAUAACUAAAAGACAGUUACCAAAGCAUUGUUUUUAAACAUACUUUGAGAUCGGCAAACGAUUUAGCCCACAUUUUACCAACAGAGACUCUAAUAAGAAGUGAGAUAGUUUACAUGGUGGGGGGAGUCCCUGUGUACACGAAGCGAGUGAUGGAAGCGGAGUGGAAGUGGGAGCGGGAACCGGACUUAGGCGUUUCAGUGUGAUAGUGGAAAAAAGGGCGAGUGGUCAACACUGCAGGUGAACUAACAUUACUGGAUGCUACUCUCUGUGAAUUGGAACCGUUAGUAAGAGGAAAUAAAUGUUGUUUGUUUGGGACGAGAGCCAAGGAGUAAUCUGAUUGGGCAAGGUGCAGGUGAUAAAGGUUCUGGAUUUUUCUAUUGUAUGGACCUUUUCUUUUGUAUGGACUUUUAUGUUCUGUUAUGAACCUCUCUUUUGGUUCGGUUUUGUUGUUGUUUUGUUUUUUAGUGUUUUUGUGUGUGA
RNAcentral lists this long non-coding RNA (6633 nucleotides) under Gossypium barbadense (sea-island cotton). RNAcentral's name for it is "long non-coding RNA (GBAR_LNC009629)". Lineage: Eukaryota; Viridiplantae; Streptophyta; Magnoliopsida; Malvales; Malvaceae. The record is from RNAcentral.